Molecule: ribosomal RNA, 328 nt
Filed under: uncultured Actinomycetes bacterium
Lineage: Bacteria; Bacillati; Actinomycetota; Actinomycetes
Description: bacterial SSU rRNA
Rfam family: Bacterial small subunit ribosomal RNA
Source: RNAcentral
GACGAACGCUGGCGGCGUGCUUAACACAUGCAAGUCGAACGGUGACCCUCGGAGCUUGCUCUGAGGUGAUCAGUGGCGAACGGGUGAGUAACACGUGAGUAACCUACCCCAGACUCUGGAAUAAGCGCUGGAAACGGCGUCUAAUACCGGAUAUGAGACGGAGUCGCAUGACUACCGUCUGGAAAGUUUUUUCGGUCUGGGAUGGACUCGCGGCCUAUCAGCUUGUUGGUGAGGUAAUGGCUCACCAAGGCGACGACGGGUAGCCGGCCUGAGAGGGCGAUCGGCCACACUGGGACUGAGACACGGCCCAGACUCCUACGGGUGGCAG